This 253-nucleotide ribosomal RNA is filed under the name uncultured bacterium. Its description in RNAcentral is "partial 16S ribosomal RNA". It matches the Rfam family "Bacterial small subunit ribosomal RNA", at positions 524 to 776 of the family's 1533-position model. The record is from RNAcentral.
UACGUAGGUGACCAGCGUUGUCCGGAUUUACUGGGCGUAAAGAGCGCGCAGGCGGUCGUUCAAGUCGAGUGUGAAAGCUCCCGGCUCAACUGGGAGAGGUCCGCGGAAACGGUCGGGCUGGAGCAAGGUAGGGGGUCGUGGAAUUCCCGGUGUAGUGGUGGAAUGCGUAGAGAUCGGGAGGAACACCAGUGGCGAAGGCGGCGACCUGGACCUGUGCUGACGCUGAGGCGCGAAAGCGUGGGGAGCGAUCCGG